Molecule: ribosomal RNA, 467 nt
Filed under: uncultured bacterium
Lineage: Bacteria
Description: bacterial SSU rRNA
Rfam family: Bacterial small subunit ribosomal RNA
Source: RNAcentral
CUGAACGCUGGCGGCGUGGCUAAGACAUGCAAGUCGCACGGACGUAGCAAUACGUUAGUGGCGAACGGGUGAGUAAUGAAUCGCUAAUGUGCCCCGGACUUUGGGAUAGCUAUCCGAAAGGAUAGGUAAUACCAGAUGAUAUACCUUUGUCGCAUGACAGGGGUCUCAAAGGUCCGCCGGUCUGGGAGCAGGCGAUUUCGUAUCAGCUAGUUGGUGAGGUAACGGCUCACCAAGGCGAUGACGCGUAGCCGGACUGAGAGGUUGGCCGGCCACAUUGGGACUGAGACACUGCCCAGACUCCUACGGGGGGCUGCAGUAACGAAUCUUCCGCAAUGGGCGAAAGCCUGACGGAGCGACGCCGCGUGUAGGAGAAGCCCUUCGGGGUGUAAACUACUGUCAGGGGUUAAAGGUUCUGAUCAACCCCAGAGGAAGGCACGGCUAACUCUGUGCCAGCCGCCGCGGUAAUU